Molecule: unclassified non-coding RNA, 309 nt
Filed under: plant metagenome
Description: partial contains 5.8S ribosomal RNA, internal transcribed spacer 2, and large subunit ribosomal RNA
Rfam family: 5.8S ribosomal RNA (bases 1-105)
Source: RNAcentral
GAAAUGCGAUAAGUAGUGUGAAUUGCAGAAUUCAGUGAAUCAUCGAAUCUUUGAACGCACAUUGCGCCCCUUGGUAUUCCAUGGGGCAUGCCUAUUCGAGCGUCAUUUGUACCCUCAAGCUCUGCUUGGUGUUGGGUGUUUGUCCCGUCUCCGCGCGUGGACUCGCCCCAAAGUGAUUGGCAGCCGGCGUACUGGUCCCGGAGCGCAGCACAUGUCGCGCAAACGAGUGCCUUGGUACGGCGGCGUCCAUAAGCCCCUCUCUCACGCUCUUGACCUCGGAUCAGGUAGGGAUACCCGCUGAACUUAAGC